Small nuclear RNA from Nannospalax galili (Upper Galilee mountains blind mole rat), 166 nucleotides. Its record names the gene U1. It matches the Rfam family "U1 spliceosomal RNA". From Rfam's summary of the family: U1 is a small nuclear RNA (snRNA) component of the spliceosome (involved in pre-mRNA splicing). Its 5' end forms complementary base pairs with the 5' splice junction, thus defining the 5' donor site of an intron. There are significant differences in sequence and secondary structure between metazoan and yeast U1 snRNAs, the latter being much longer (568 nucleotides as compared to 164 nucleotides in human). The record is from Ensembl. NCBI's taxonomy places the organism in Eukaryota, Metazoa, Chordata, Mammalia, Rodentia, Spalacidae.
AUACUUACCUGGCAGGGGAGAUGCCAUGCUCACGAAGGUGGUUUUCCCAGGGCAAGGCUUACCCAUUGCACUCUCAAUGUGUGUCUGACCCCUGAGAUUUCCCAGAUGUGGAAAACUCGGCUGCACAGUUUGUGGUAGUGGGGGACUGUAUUCGUGCUCUCCCCUG